UUCGAGUGGCGACGGGUGAGUAACGCGUGGGUAACCUGCCUUACACAGGGGGAUAACACCUGGAAACAGGUGCUAAUACCGCAUAAGCGCACAGGGCCGCAUGGCCCGGUGUGAAAAACUCCGGUGGUGUAAGAUGGACCCGCGUCUGAUUAGCUUGUUGGCGGGGUAGGGGCCCACCAAGGCGACGAUCAGUAGCCAGCCUGAGAGGGUGGACGGCCACAUUGGGACUGAGACACGGCCCAAACUCCUACGGAAGGCAGCAG
This 263-nucleotide ribosomal RNA is filed under the name uncultured bacterium. Its description in RNAcentral is "partial 16S ribosomal RNA". It matches the Rfam family "Bacterial small subunit ribosomal RNA", at positions 90 to 354 of the family's 1533-position model. The record is from RNAcentral.